CCCAUUAGACUUUGACCCAACACCCGGCGUCUGUGCCGGGUGGUGACCCGAGGAGC
Molecule: non-coding RNA, 56 nt
Filed under: Streptomyces clavuligerus
Lineage: Bacteria; Bacillati; Actinomycetota; Actinomycetes; Kitasatosporales; Streptomycetaceae
Source: RNAcentral